AGGAAAGUCCAUCAUCUUCCUCACAGUCAGACGAACCAUUUUCAUGGUGCUUCCUGUCGAGAAAUUGGAAAAGGCAAAAUUUGGAAGCUUCAAUGUUCCUCAUUCAGCUCAACCAAUACAGAGCAGUUGGUACUGGUUUGCCUUGUAAUGAAGGUCGAAUCCCCAAUAUGUUGGUGAUUAAAGGCACUUUGUGCUAGUUAAAUCUGGACGGAGUUGCCGGCACCUCUAAUAAUCGAUGACAAAUUAAGUCAUCCUCGUUUUUAUAAUAGCUGGAACCCCACAUAAGCUCGAUCUCUUAUCUUAACAUGAUUUCUCUAAUGAUGCAUGGAUACAAGAUUAAAAGCUGAAGAACCUCAUCAAUUUAUGAGUGUAACUCAGGACUGUGACACUUUGAGCACUUUCUCUAGCUCCUUGCUUUUUACCUUUUCUAGCAGCUUUCAUGACCCUUGGAGAUAAAUCAACAUCUUUGGUAAUGUGUAGCAAUGCAUUUUCAGUGUCUUCUCCCUCCAUGAGAGCCUCAACCUAGUGCUCAGUAUCACCAUCUGGGACUCAUCUAUCUGCACAGCAGUAGGUAGCAAAACUAUUGCCCCAUUAUUAUUUUCUACCAUUUGAUCAUCAUUA
Capsicum annuum is the source of this 621-nucleotide long non-coding RNA. RefSeq lists it as uncharacterized. The transcript is spliced from 3 exons. The record is from RefSeq and is a predicted model, not a curated record. Lineage: Eukaryota; Viridiplantae; Streptophyta; Magnoliopsida; Solanales; Solanaceae.